GGGGGUAUAGCUCAGUGGUAGAGCAUUUGACUGCAUAGUGUAUUCAUUUGUUACUCAAAACACACAUUUAAAUUGAAUUUCACCUA
Molecule: transfer RNA, 86 nt
Filed under: Ailuropoda melanoleuca (giant panda)
Lineage: Eukaryota; Metazoa; Chordata; Mammalia; Carnivora; Ursidae
Rfam family: tRNA
About the family: Transfer RNA (tRNA) molecules are approximately 80 nucleotides in length. Their secondary structure includes four short double-helical elements and three loops (D, anti-codon, and T loops). Further hydrogen bonds mediate the characteristic L-shaped molecular structure. tRNAs have two regions of fundamental functional importance: the anti-codon, which is responsible for specific mRNA codon recognition, and the 3' end, to which the tRNAs corresponding amino acid is attached (by aminoacyl-tRNA synthetases). tRNAs cope with the degeneracy of the genetic code in two manners: having more than one tRNA (with a specific anti-codon) for a particular amino acid; and 'wobble' base-pairing, i.e. permitting non-standard base-pairing at the 3rd anti-codon position.
Source: Rfam by way of RNAcentral